RNAcentral lists this long non-coding RNA (316 nucleotides) under Cercocebus atys (sooty mangabey). RNAcentral's name for it is "lncRNA (ENSCATG00000045857.1)". Lineage: Eukaryota; Metazoa; Chordata; Mammalia; Primates; Cercopithecidae. The record is from RNAcentral.
UUUUUUUUCUAACAGAUGAAGCAGUGCAUAAGCAUUUAUGAUGGGUGAAGCUGAUGUGUUGCAACGAAUAUCUCAUGCAGGCACUUUGGAUCCAACUCAACUCAUCACACAUUUAUGGUGCCAGAUGCCAAUUUGGAGAAGAAAGGGUCUUGUUCUCAUGAAGCUCACAGAGAAACAGCUGAACGGUCACCAGGUCAUGAAAUUCCACCGGGAAUGGGAAGAGCCUCUGGAGCAGCAUGCAAAGUCCUGCUAUCUGCAUUCUGUGGUUGGAGUGAGUUGGGUCAGCCCACCAAUGUAUUUCCUCAUUAGACAUUGA